AUUAAAUUAAGUUAUUGUAAGACUGUGUGUUUUCAAAACACUUAGAGGUUUCGUACCAUUUAAUG
Molecule: transfer RNA, 65 nt
Filed under: Cephalochlamys namaquensis
Lineage: Eukaryota; Metazoa; Platyhelminthes; Cestoda; Pseudophyllidea; Cephalochlamydidae
Description: tRNA-Trp
Source: RNAcentral